RNAcentral lists this ribosomal RNA (279 nucleotides) under uncultured bacterium. Its description in RNAcentral is "partial 16S ribosomal RNA". It matches the Rfam family "Bacterial small subunit ribosomal RNA", at positions 506 to 784 of the family's 1533-position model. The record is from RNAcentral.
UGCCAGCCGCCGCGGUAAUACGGAGGGUGCGAGCGUUAAUCGGAAUUACUGGGCGUAAAGGGUGCGUAGGUUGUAUUAUAAGUUAUCUGUGAAAUACCCGGGCUUAACCUGGGGGGGUCAGGUAAUACUGUAGAACUGGAGUAUAGGAGAGGGUAGUGGAAUUUCCGGUGUAGCGGUGAAAUGCGUAGAUAUCGGAAGGAACACCAGUGGCGAAGGCGACUACCUGGCCUAAUACUGACACUGAGGCACGAAAGCGUGGGUAGCGAACAGGAUUAGAUA